Molecule: long non-coding RNA, 3717 nt
Filed under: Triticum aestivum (bread wheat)
Lineage: Eukaryota; Viridiplantae; Streptophyta; Magnoliopsida; Poales; Poaceae
Description: long non-coding RNA (TAES_LNC018041)
Source: RNAcentral
UUCUAAUAUCGCUCCACCUUUUGUGUAACUUAUGGAUGGAUUCCUUCUGAUCACCUUGAAGACCUCUUUUCCUGCAGCCUUUGCUUGAUUAAAGGUCUGAAGAUCUGGUGCAGCGUAGGUAAUUGAUCUGCACUCCAUGCGGUGAAAUCAGUCAAGUCUAUUGAUUAUAAUUCAUGGAAAAGGAAAGAAUAUGCAUGCAUACUACCUAUGUACCUUGCAAAAAAUCAUAUUUGAAUGAAAAUUGUUUAGGCGAUUGAAGCAAUCAGAUAGGGUGUAGUUUUAUUACAUUGCGCCAAAGAGGAUGCUCAUGAUGGCAGCUAUCGUGCCACCUCCUGUUGCUGUCCGGUUGCUUACUGCAACUGCCCCAAUCCAAACCAUCAGUGCCCAUGAACAAAAGGUCACUGUUUGGAACAAGCCCAGCCCUAUUCCCUUUAUCAUCGCCUCCUUCUUGCUUAAUUUGUAUUGAUUGUCUGUGCACUGCACAAAGGAUUUCAUGGCCCAGUUCUCUCCGGCAAAGGAGAAGACAGUCUUGAUAUGUGACAAAGUCUGCCCACAAAUGCACACAAGGAUUACAUAGUUAAUUUUUUUUCUAAUAACAUUUUUAUUUUUUAUAUUUCUGUUUAUUCAAAUAACCUAGCUUCAGGUACGGAGCGUUGACUCAUCUACGUGGUUACCUGUUCUACGACAGAUGUUGCUUGUGAGACAAUAGCAUUGCGUGACAAUGAUAUGACAUUCAUCUUUUUUGUGUAUGUGGCUCCAAUAGCGAGGAUCAGAGGAAUGACCAGGAAGGAGAGCAUCGCGACUUCCCAGCAGCUGGCAAAUGCAAUUAUUAUACCAGCAAAGAAAGUGGAGAAGCUUGCGACGAAAUGACCGAGCUGCAGAAAUUGAGCUCAGAUGCAACUUCUCCACAGGACUUUAGAAAUCAUACAGUUAUUGUUCGAUAUGAUUGUGAAAUGCAUUACCUUCUCACCAAUUGCAUCUUGUAUGACAUUCAUGUGGUUGGUUACCCCGGUGAUGAUGUUUGCAGUGGACAAGUCUGUAUCGAAGGCCCCAACCUCUUGAUUAAGGACUGAUCUCAGAUAUUCCAGCCGCAUGCGUGCUAACUGCCUCUCACUCGAGUAUAUCCAGCAGGAGAUCUCUGCAGCCAGUUUAUCAGGGGAAAUGUAAGCAAUGUUUUGCCAGCCAAUAUUGCUACCAUUAGAUCUCCUAUAAUUCUCAUUUUUUUUCGAACAUAACCAAGUACUCCCUCCAUUUCAUAAUAAGUGUUGUGGUUUUAGUUGUUUUAGUUCAAAUUUGAACUAAAACCACGGCACUUAUAUGGAAUGGAGGGAGUAUUAUGUUUCUAAUAUAUCAUUCAUCCUGCACAUUAGUGUACUUCUAUUAGAUUUUAGGAUGUGCUUUUAUGUCCUUAAAAAAAUCAUGGAUUUUGAAGCAAUAGGGGUUGGGCAAACGUGCGAUCAUAAAAAAAGUUCUCUUUUGAGCAAUCAAUGAGCGAAGUGUAUAAAAUCAGACCAUAAAUCAAUGGAAAAUAUUUAAAGAAGUUGUGGAGUCUAUAUUUUCCAUUCUUGUCUCUCCAUAUUAGUUCCUCUUUGAACCACUACAGGAGAAUGCAAAUAGUGUGUGGCUUGUUAUCAUUUCUUUUUACCAAACUUAAUGCAACAUGCAUCAUCGAAGAAACUAAAGGUCCCUUGAGUCUUGACUUACCAACCAUUCCAGCAGGAAAAGUAGCUGCCGCCAUGUACCACACAUACGGAACCACCUUCAAGCAUAAACAAUGGUGUUAAAAGCAAUUGUAGACCAAUACAACCCAAGUUCAGGAGGGUAAUAUGUGCAUGCAUGUUUACCUUGUACAAUGCAUGGACCAUGGCCUCCUGAUUAUUUAUGUUGGUUCCGAAGGCAUCAAGUGCUUUCCCGAGAAGGAGAUAUCCGAUCGGGAAUGCCAUGCCAUGGAUGGCAGACCCGACGGUUCCCAGGGCCAUGAGUAGCCAGUCCACCUUAUCAGCGUAGCAAAGCAGCCCGAAGAACGGGAAUGGCUUCUCAUCAGCACUAGCUGCUGGGAUGGUGCUCCUCCUGUCAUCCGUGUCAUCAUGCUGAGAUGAUGAAAUGGAGUGGUCUUCGUCAUAGGCUGUGGCCAUUGUUUCCGGUGGUCUUGGUUGCGCUUUUACAGCAGGGAACCAUGGAAGAGGAGGUGCGUAGAUGGCAUGGUAUUAUAGGCGUAGGUGUUGCAUACCUAUGUGCAUGUUUACAUGUAGGUGCUGACGAACAUGUUUCCAAAAAUGGUGUGAAACAAUAAACGUAGGUACUCUCAAGGUUGAAAACAAAAUAUGCCGAGGUGGUCAAGGUAUACAUUAGCAUAUUACAUCGAUUUUAUAUAGCAGUGUUUGCUUUAGUUUUGGCAGGGUAAGUGUGCUGCCAAGUUCAUUUUUCAUUGGAGAAUGAACGGCUCGAAAUAAUAUGGCUGUUGGUUCUGUUGGAAUAGAGAAAGCAUGUGAUACAUUAAUGAUGUUUUGCAUAGUUUUCUGUGUGAAACAACUCAAUUUUUUCCUUCACCUUGACUUAGAUGUAUCUGGCAACCAGGUUAAUAAUGUCCAGGAUCUCACUUGAGAGAUCCCCAAGGCUGCCAGUUAACUAAUAUUUCUGGCAUCCUGGAGGUGAUAUGAUUCCUCAAAAUAGUUGAAUAUGUAGUUAAGAUCAAGAAAAUUUUGAUGUGCAUAAUAAUAUGUUAAUGAGUGCUUACAUAACCAAUGUUGGUGUCUUGGAAUAACUGGGGCAUAAUUCGAGCAUAUGCCUUUUCAGACUGCAGAUAAAAACUCGAGGUUGUCGAUGUCUAGACUGUCCGCAACCAGCUCGGGGCGUUUGUUUGCACCUGCACCAGUUUGCUGAUGCACCUGUGUCCAAGAAGGAGCGUCCAAAGAGAUAGAAUGCAAAGCGAGCAUGAAAUUCUAUGUGUUAUCAGAACUCAUGUGCUCAUUUCUCAUCAAAUUUUGGCCGAAGCUAACAUCUGCGCCGUACCGCAUUGUGCGGGCGUUCGGCACGGCAGCUGGGCGGUUUGUUCUCGGAUUUUGGGGGCGAAAGCGCGUAUGUCUUGCAGCUAGCUUUUCGAGAUGCAAUCCAGAAGGCCGACUGGAAGCUACAGAGGAAACAAGUCUUGGGCAAGCAUGUGUUGUUUCGGCAGUUAUUUGUUUCUUUCCCAGGGGAGUGCAGGCGGAUUAGACCUUUCUAAACACGUCAUCGUCCAUGACAUUUUCACUGAUGGGAUAAGCGGAGAAUAUCCGAGUGACGUCCUGAAGACGCCAAGAGUGACCGGUUCAAAUGCCCUGUUAAGAAUUCAGAUUGCCGUCUCAUGCGUCUGUCUGUAUUCCAAGUUCUCGUCUCCGCUCUGCAUGAUUUUGUCUGCAAAUUUACCCGUAGCCACUAUAUGAUGGAGUUAUGUGGGCUUAUGUGUAGAUUCUCUUAUUAUAACCAGAAAGAGAGCGAUGUAACGAUCUGGAAAGAAUUUGUCACCAUAUGAUGGUGUUUAUUAGGAGCGACUGUCUGUUUACAGGCCUGAUAUUUUUUGCCGUUCAAUCAAAUUUGUCGUUGGAUUCAAAUCCAACGGAUGCCAUCCUCCGUGCCACCCCCUGCCUCGCGUCCAGCGAGUUCAUGUCGGGGCUCUCUGCCGCGUCACCGUCUCAUGGCUCCAUCUAAUCCGAGCUUGAAUCAAAUACUAAAAGGCCC